CCCUUAGAUGUUCUGGGCCGCACACGCGCUACACUGAAGGAGGCAGCGUGUACUCCUGGAUCGAAAGAUUUGGGUAACCCGCGAAUCUCCUUCGUGCUAGGGAUUGAGGUUUGCAAUUAUCCUUCAUGAACGAGGAAUUCCCAGUAAGUGCAAGUCAUAAGCUUGCGCUGACUACGUCCCUGCCCUUUGUACACACCGCCCGUCGCUACUACCGAUUGGGUGCUCCGGUGAAUUGUUUGGACUGCUGUCAGUCUUUUUGGCUGUCGGCGAGAAGCUCUGUGAACCUUAGCACCUAGAGGAAGGAGAAGUCGUAACA
RNAcentral lists this ribosomal RNA (316 nucleotides) under uncultured eukaryote. RNAcentral's name for it is "partial 18S ribosomal RNA". It matches the Rfam family "Eukaryotic small subunit ribosomal RNA", at positions 1470 to 1796 of the family's 1831-position model. The record is from RNAcentral.